GACGAACGCUGGCGGCGUGCUUAACACAUGCAAGUCGAACGGAAAGGCCCUGCUUUUGUGGGGUGCUCGAGUGGCGAACGGGUGAGUAACACGUGAGUAACCUGCCCUUGACUUUGGGAUAACUUCAGGAAGCUGGGGCUAAUACCGGAUAGGAGCUCCUGCUGCAUGGUGGGGGUUGGAAAGUUUCGGCGGUUGGGGAUGGACUCGCGGCUUAUCAGCUUGUUGGUGGGGUAGUGGCUUACCAAGGCUUUGACGGGUAGCCGGCCUGAGAAGGUGACCGGCCACAUUGGGACUGAGAUACGGCCCAGACUCCUACGGGAGGCAGCAGUGGGGAAUAUUGCACAAUGGGCGGAAGCCUGAUGCAGCAACGCCGCGUGCGGGAUGACGGCCUUCGGGUUGUAAACCGCUUUCGCCUGUGACGAAGCGUGAGUGACGGUAAUGGGUAAAGAAGCACCGGCUAACUACGUG
RNAcentral lists this ribosomal RNA (468 nucleotides) under uncultured bacterium. Its description in RNAcentral is "partial 16S ribosomal RNA". It matches the Rfam family "Bacterial small subunit ribosomal RNA", at positions 28 to 507 of the family's 1533-position model. The record is from RNAcentral.